GAUGAACGCUGGCGGCGUGCCUAAUACAUGCAAGUCGAGCGAACGGACGAGAAGCUUGCUUUUCUGAUGUUAGCGGCGGACGGGUGAGUAACACGUGGAUAACCUACCUAUAAGACUGGGAUAACUUCGGGAAACCGGAGCUAAUACCGGAUAAUAUUUUGAACCGCAUGGUUCAAAAGUGAAAGACGGUCUUGCUGUCACUUAUAGAUGGAUCCGCGCUGCAUUAGCUAGUUGGUAAGGUAACGGCUUACCAAGGCAACGAUGCAUAGCCGACCUGAGAGGGUGAUCGGCCACACUGGAACUGAGACACGGUCCAGACUCCUACGGGAGGCAGCAGUAGGGAAUCUUCCGCAAUGGGCGAAAGCCUGACGGAGCAACGCCGCGCGAGUGAUGAAGGUCUUCGGAUCGUAAAACUCUGUUAUUAGGGAAGAACAUAUGUGUAAGUAACUGUGCACAUCUUGACGGUACCUAAUCAGAAAGCCACGGCUAACUACGUGCCAGCAGCCGCGGUAAUACGUAGGUGGCAAGCGUUAUCCGGAAUUAUUGGGCGUAAAGCGCGCGUAGGCGGUUUUUUAAGUCUGAUGUGAAAGCCCACGGCUCAAUCGUGGAGGGUCAUUGGAAACUGGAAAACUUGAGUGCAGAAGAGGAAAGUGGAAUUCCAUGUGUAGCGGUGAAAUGCGCAGAGAUGUGGAGGAACACCAGUGGCGAAGGCGACUCUCUGGUCUGUAACUGACGCUGAUGUGCGAAAGCGUGGGGAUCAAACAGGAUUAGAUACCCUGGUAGUCCACGCCGUAAACGAUGAGUGCUAAGUGUUAGGGGGUUUCCGCCCCUUAGUGCUGCAGCUAACGCAUUAAGCACUCCGCCUGGGGAGUACGACCGCAAGGUUGAAACUCAAAGGAAUUGACGGGGGCCCGCACAAGCGGUGGAGCAUGUGGUUUAAUUCGAAGCAACGCGAAGAACCUUACCAAAUCUUGACAUCCUUUGACAACUCUAGAGAUAGAGCCUUCCCCUUCGGGGGACAAAGUGACAGGUGGUGCAUGGUUGUCGUCAGCUCGUGUCGUGAGAUGUUGGGUUAAGUCCCGCAACGAGCGCAACCCUUAAGCUUAGUUGCCAUCAUUAAGUUGGGCACUCUAAGUUGACUGCCGGUGACAAACCGGAGGAAGGUGGGGAUGACGUCAAAUCAUCAUGCCCCUUAUGAUUUGGGCUACACACGUGCUACAAUGGACAAUACAAAGGGCAGCGAAACCGCGAGGUCAAGCAAAUCCCAUAAAGUUGUUCUCAGUUCGGAUUGUAGUCUGCAACUCGACUACAUGAAGCUGGAAUCGCUAGUAAUCGUAGAUCAGCAUGCUACGGUGAAUACGUUCCCGGGUCU
RNAcentral lists this ribosomal RNA (1372 nucleotides) under uncultured bacterium. RNAcentral's name for it is "bacterial SSU rRNA". It matches the Rfam family "Bacterial small subunit ribosomal RNA", at positions 28 to 1381 of the family's 1533-position model. The record is from RNAcentral.